CCUACGGGUGGCUGCAGUCGAGAAUCUUCGGCAAUGGGCGAAAGCCUGACCGAGCGAUGCCGCGUGCGGGAUGAAGGCCCUCGGGUUGUAAACCGCUGUCGUAGGGGAGGCCUAGCCUAGGAGGAAGUACGGGCUAAGUUCGUGCCAGCAGCCGCGGUAACACGAACCGUACGAACGUUAUUCGGAAUUACUGGGCUUAAAGGGUUUGUAGGCGGCCUUAUAAGUCAGGUGUGAAAGCCCUCGGCUCAACCGAGGAAUAGCGCUUGAUACUGUAAGGCUUGAGGGAGACAGGGGUAAGCGGAACUGAUGGUGGAGCGGUGAAAUGCGUUGAUAUCAUCAGGAACACCGGUGGCGAAAGCGGCUUACUGGGUCUCUCUGACGCUGAGGAACGAAAGCUAGGGUAGCGAACGGGAUUAGAUACCCUUGUAGUC
Molecule: ribosomal RNA, 431 nt
Filed under: uncultured bacterium
Lineage: Bacteria
Description: partial 16S ribosomal RNA
Rfam family: Bacterial small subunit ribosomal RNA
Source: RNAcentral